AAUCUGGCUAACUUUCGUGUUGUUCUGACACUUAUUUUAAGCCAUUCCUCUCUGAGGGCAGACCUAAGCUCUGUUUUGCCGUGAAUGUGCCUUUUCCGCACUUACAAAAAUGCUUGUCCAGCUUCGGUUGAUAAAGUAUUUGGAACGGUUUCAGAUGAAAAGGUUAAACAAGCUAACUCAUAUGAAUAUGUUCCAUCAUAUACUUCAUACAACAAGUUUGCUUGGACAAAAAAGCAUAAAGAUAGACGUAAGAAGAAGCAUCUUUUUAGAAAAAUUAAAUGCUUCUCAAAUGGAAGAAAAUGUAAUGAUGAAUUGGAUGCUAUAAGAAAGAAAUGGAAGAAAGCAUUGAAUUUAGAUGAAGAGGUAUAUCCAAGCACUUCACACGAUACUCAUCCAUAUAUUUCAAGUAAGAAGGCUGCUCAGAAAGGCAAGAAAGUUCUUUCAAAUUCUUAUGAGAAAUCUCUUCACAGUUCUUCAAGAAAAGUAAUGACUCGGACAGCCUCAAACACUCUUGGAUGCAAGUAUGAUAUGCCUGUCUUAACAAGAUCUGAAAGAUUCAAGAUUUAUCAGAAAUAUCUUGGUCCAAUGAUUGUCGACCCU
This 600-nucleotide long non-coding RNA is filed under the name Androctonus crassicauda. The record is from RNAcentral. Lineage: Eukaryota; Metazoa; Arthropoda; Arachnida; Scorpiones; Buthidae.